RNAcentral lists this long non-coding RNA (433 nucleotides) under Gallus gallus (chicken). Lineage: Eukaryota; Metazoa; Chordata; Aves; Galliformes; Phasianidae. The record is from RNAcentral.
CAUCAUCUGGAAAAUCAUCAUCACAAAGCCAAGCUCCCAGAUCUGUCCUCUGAAAUUCUGCUGCUACCAAUGCAUAAAAUUCCAAGUUCAUUAUGCAAUGAACUGCAACCCAACUGAAUUACUACCUGGUAUAACUACCUACAGGAACACAGCUGUGUCUUCAAAUCACAUGUUGAAGAACCAAAUUUCUUCACAGGAAAUGUCCAGGAGAAUAUCAGAGAAAAGAUAAGCUACUCAUCAUAAACUUCUAACACAAUGAAUGAAAAAUGGAAUGAAAAAUGUUACAAGUGUCCCAAAGUUCUGAAGUUUCCCAGCAUCUUCCCAUUUUUCCUGCUACCUGCCUAUAAUGUUUAAGAUCUGGAAGGCCAAGUUUAUCUUGUUAGGAUGAGGUUCUUCUGUGAGUUACUACCUCAAAAAGUUAUUUUGAAUAAAU